Non-coding RNA from Shewanella sp. MR-4, 83 nucleotides. The record is from Rfam. NCBI's taxonomy places the organism in Bacteria, Pseudomonadati, Pseudomonadota, Gammaproteobacteria, Alteromonadales, Shewanellaceae.
ACAGGCACACCCGUUGUGAAACGGGGUCGCAAAGCUUCGGAUCUUAUUGUACAGGCUGUUAUUAAGAUGGCUGAGUUGCCGAA